GUUUGAUCCUGGCUCAGAAUCAACGCUGGCGGCGUGUCUAACACAUGCAAGUCGCACGAGAAAGGGACUUCGGUCCUGAGUACAGUGGCGCACGGGUGAGUAACACGUGAAUCAUCUACCUUCGAGUGGGGAAUAACUGGGAGAAAUCUUAGCUAAUACCGCAUAAUACCUACGGGUCAAAGCAGCAAUGCGCUUGAAGAGGAGUUCGCGGCAGAUUAGUUAGUUGGCGGGGUAAUGGCCCACCAAGGCGAUGAUCUGUAUCCGGCCUGAGAGGGCGCACGGACACACUGGAACUGAAACACGGUCCAGACUCCUACGGGAGGCAGCAGUGGGGAAUUUUGCGCAAUGGGGGAAACCCUGACGCAGCAACGCCGCGUGGAGGAUGAAGUCUCUUGGUAUGUAAA
This 404-nucleotide ribosomal RNA is filed under the name uncultured bacterium. RNAcentral's name for it is "bacterial SSU rRNA". It matches the Rfam family "Bacterial small subunit ribosomal RNA", at positions 11 to 429 of the family's 1533-position model. The record is from RNAcentral.